GCCACAACCAUUCAGCCACAAAUUCAUUCCUCGACAAGGACAGUGUAUGAUGAAGACCCGGCGCGGUGCAAGAUAGGACAUCCACGCACAGAGACAAGUCUCGGUGGCCAUUCCAACAUGGUCAGCCGCUGCCUGGCCGACGUCGCCGAAGGGGCAGCCGCCGCCACCCGCCAUAUCUGGCAAUUCUACAUACGGGCGAGCCAGGGUACCAAGCGCCUAGGCGAGGCACGUCAACAGCCGCAACCGCAAGACACCCUCCAACCAAGCCCACGCCGCCUCCCACCCUUUCGACCAUCGAUGAGGACUGCCCGCUUCUUGCACCCAAGCCUAUCCCACGCGACGAGGACACCAGCGUGUGCGCCGCCACUCACCCUGGAACCCCCACACAGCCUGCGUGAACGCACACGUCACCGCAAUCGCGCCCCACGCCAGCACCAUGUCCCCGACAAGCGAGCACAACCCGUGCUACCAAUCUCCAGCGAGGAGGAAGAGGGGCCUUGCCGCCCCAAUGCUGCCCUAGCUUUGCUUGGCGGCGUCGGAGACCCUCCGGUGACGGCGAGGGUGGAGUGGAGGGAGGCGGCAAAGCUAGGUUUCACCCAGCCGUCGUCCACGGGAGCGAUAGGGGUGAGAGGUACAGGAGUAGGAUCUGGAUGGCCUUUAGACUGAAACAAACACCUUCAGAUUAGCAUCACACCUGUACUUGUGGGCACUCAUUCAGGCAAGGGUAUCGCCAAACGAUUUUGAUUACCUUGGACACUUCUUCGGUACGGUGAACGCAAGAAACAGCGAGAGUUCUGUUUCUCCUUGGCACAAGGCUUCCUUUCUUCACUGAGAAUGAAAGGAAAGGAAGGAAGUCAAUGUAAAAAAAUAUUCAGUGGCAUAUAAGAAAGCAAUAAAAAUAAA
This is a long non-coding RNA of Triticum aestivum (bread wheat), 903 nucleotides long. RefSeq lists it as uncharacterized. The record is from RefSeq and is a predicted model, not a curated record. NCBI's taxonomy places the organism in Eukaryota, Viridiplantae, Streptophyta, Magnoliopsida, Poales, Poaceae. The transcript has 3 exons.